GCGGCGGGGUUCUCGCCGUAAACAGGGCUUCCCAGAGACGUGGUGGACAACAACAACUCCCAUCAUCCCCAGCUGCAAGGGCCUUUGGCUGGGGACGAUGGGAGUUGUAGUCAACGGACAGGCCCAGUGGUCUCAUUGACCAGCACCGGGAGUGGGGAGGUGAGCCUGCUCUGCUCACCCCCCAGCCACCACCCCUCGGCCGUGCACAUGGCAGCUUAGAUUAUGCAAAAAGAAAGCAGAGGUUCGGCACGGCGGGCACAGGGUGGCUGCAGGAGCCCCCCCCCAAAAAAGCACCCCCCCGAACAAACCAAAACACCCUUUUCCAAAAGAAGUUGGCCCUGACAGCAUCAUCAACAAGAAGGGCAAGCCCACUGAAACAGGGCUACAUAUGUACAGGCACGUGCCCGGAGUUGGAUCAGUGCCUGGGGAUGUAGGAGGUAGUGAGGAAUAUUUUUGCUUUUAUUUCUAUACCUCUAACGCUGCAAUCCUGUGCACAUAAAGUCCCAUUGAAAUCACUUGCACUGACUUGUGAGCAAACAUGCUUGAGCAGUAUAAAUCGUGAUCUAAAUCUUCAAAUAAUAACAAAUAAAAGAAAAUUUC
This is a long non-coding RNA of Hemicordylus capensis (graceful crag lizard), 600 nucleotides long. RefSeq lists it as uncharacterized. The record is from RefSeq and is a predicted model, not a curated record. Lineage: Eukaryota; Metazoa; Chordata; Lepidosauria; Squamata; Cordylidae. The transcript is spliced from 3 exons.